GUGGGGAAUAUUGGACAAUGGGCGAAAGCCUGAUCCAGCCAUGCCGCGUGUGUGAAGAAGGUCUUCGGAUUGUAAAGCACUUUAAGUUGGGAGGAAGGGCAGUAAGUUAAUACCUUGCUGUUUUGACGUUACCGACAGAAUAAGCACCGGCUAACUUCGUGCCAGCAGCCGCGGUAAUACGAAGGGUGCAAGCGUUAAUCGGAAUUACUGGGCGUAAAGCGCGCGUAGGUGGUUUUGUAAGUUGGAGGUGAAAUCCCCGGGCUCAACCUGGGAACUGCCUCCAAAACUGCAUGACUAGAGUACGGUAGAGGGUAGAGGAAUUUCCUGUGUAGCGGUGAAAAGCGUAGAUAUAGGAAGGAACACCAGUGGCGAAGGCGACUACCUGGACUGAUACUGACACUGAGGUGCGAAAGCGUGGGGAGCAAACAGGAUUAGAAACCCUAGUAGUCC
This 450-nucleotide ribosomal RNA is filed under the name uncultured bacterium. RNAcentral describes it as "partial 16S ribosomal RNA". It matches the Rfam family "Bacterial small subunit ribosomal RNA", at positions 354 to 796 of the family's 1533-position model. The record is from RNAcentral.